GCCCGAAGCCGAUUAUCUAACCUUUUGGAAGAAGUCGUCGAAGGUGGAAUCAAUAACUGGGGUGAAGUCGUAACAAGGUNNCCNUNUNGNAAGGUGCGGCUGGCUCACCUCCUUUCUGAGGAG
RNAcentral lists this ribosomal RNA (123 nucleotides) under Clostridioides difficile. RNAcentral's name for it is "partial 16S ribosomal RNA". It matches the Rfam family "Bacterial small subunit ribosomal RNA", at positions 1419 to 1533 of the family's 1533-position model. The record is from RNAcentral. Lineage: Bacteria; Bacillati; Bacillota; Clostridia; Peptostreptococcales; Peptostreptococcaceae.